Molecule: non-coding RNA, 214 nt
Filed under: Bacillus infantis
Lineage: Bacteria; Bacillati; Bacillota; Bacilli; Caryophanales; Bacillaceae
Description: T-box sequence
Rfam family: T-box leader
About the family: Uncharged tRNA acts as the effector for transcription antitermination of genes in the T-box leader family. T-boxes are found upstream of many aminoacyl-tRNA synthetase genes and some amino acid biosynthetic genes usually in Gram-positive bacteria. The anticodon of a specific tRNA base pairs to a specifier sequence within the T-box motif, and the NCCA acceptor tail of the tRNA base pairs to a conserved bulge in the T-box antiterminator hairpin.
Source: RNAcentral
AGAUGAGUUAUGACAGGAAUCAGUAGGGUUUGCUUCCCUGUUUGAAGAGAGCCGGUGUUUGGUGCGAACCGGUACAAAAGCAAACGUGAAUUACCUCCUUGAACAUUCUUUGUGAAACAUGAAGUAGCAAAGGACGGACGGUCCGUUAUCCGAACGAGCGGAAGACAAGUGUCUUCAACAAGGGUGGUACCGCGUGCAAAACCACGUCCCUUUU